UGGUAAGGUGGGCGCCUAUCCCCUUGUUUGCCCCUCUUCCCCUUGUUUGGAUUUGUAUUAAACGAAGAAUGUGGGUUAACCUUUGAACACCUGCCUAUCCCUGGACCAAGAUUAGGAUUUCUGGAAUGUGAAGUCAUAAACUCCUGUGGGCUUUGCCUAGUGGUUUCUUUUUGCCUAUAUAAGUUCUGUGGGAGACAAAUAAAACUGGCACUAUUUCUCUCUUUCAUAUAGUGUCUGUUCUUUCUUUUUUUGUUACCUGUUAUUCUUCAUUUUUCGUUACCCCAAGUAGGAUCUCACAGGACUGGCCGACCCUGUGGAGGAGUCUUCCAGGAAAAGACCCUGAUGUUGGGAAAGGAUGAAGGUGACUUCUUUCAUUGCAUGGAGAAUACAGAGUGCUGUUAUAAUCCUAUAUCAGAUUAUUUACUGCCUCAGAGAGAGGUGAGGGAGGAAGAGAAUCCAGAUUGCAAAAUGACAGGAAGUUAUAAAUUGUAUCAUGAAAAAAGAAAAAGAAAAUAAAGCAGAUUUAUUUGUAAUUUUGUGAAAUGAAUCAAAACUAAGAGAAAGAAAAUGAGAAGAAAAAAAAUGAAUGAUAUAAAAUAAAAGCAAUUGACAUACUAAAC
RNAcentral lists this long non-coding RNA (620 nucleotides) under Monodelphis domestica (gray short-tailed opossum). RNAcentral's name for it is "lncRNA (ENSMODG00000033944.2)". The record is from RNAcentral. Lineage: Eukaryota; Metazoa; Chordata; Mammalia; Didelphimorphia; Didelphidae.